UACGAAGGGUGCAAGCGUUACUCGGAAUUACUGGGCGUAAAGCGUGCGUAGGUGGUUUGUUAAGUCUGCUGUGAAAGCCCCGGGCUCAACCUGGGAAUGGCAGUGGAUACUGGCAAGCUAGAGUGCGGUAGAGGGGUGUGGAAUUCCCGGUGUAGCGGUGAAAUGCGUAGAGAUCGGGAGGAACACCAGUGGCGAAGGCGGCACCCUGGACCAGCACUGACACUGAGGCACGAAAGCGUGGGGAGCAAACAGG
Molecule: ribosomal RNA, 253 nt
Filed under: uncultured bacterium
Lineage: Bacteria
Also listed under: 1 other name
Description: partial 16S ribosomal RNA
Rfam family: Bacterial small subunit ribosomal RNA
Source: RNAcentral